Molecule: long non-coding RNA, 2272 nt
Organism: Gopherus evgoodei (Goodes thornscrub tortoise)
Lineage: Eukaryota; Metazoa; Chordata; Testudines; Testudinidae
Exons: 3
Source: RefSeq, a predicted model, not a curated record
AAGAUAAGAAAAUGGCUGAGACGGACCAAGGAAGAUAUGUUCUGGGUGAUGCUGCAGCAGUCAGAGGUAGAAAACACCGAACACAAGAAGUUGAUGGAAAGCGACAAGAAGGAAAGAGAAGAGAAGGAUUUUUACAACAGGGAUGCCACAGAGCGGCUGAUUAAAGUUCUGGAGUGUCAAACCAACAUGCUCCAGACUCUCGUAACACCUUCUCACCCACCAACAACUUUUCCUGCAAGUUCUUGGUUUCUGUGAAGAUGGCUACAGCAUCAAGUCUUUUUACAGAGCUUUGGUGUUAUCUUCUGGCUAUCCUCUGUGUACCUUUAUAGGUACUUCAUAUGUACCUUCAAGACAAUAGUGACUCCCAGGAGCAGGGGAUAGAUAUCCUGACAUCUAGUUAUGCCUUCAAGGAAAUUAGCUGGCCUUAUUGAUGAAAACUGUCUUUCAAUGAUGCAGAAAUCCCUACAGAGAUCACACAAAGGAAGAUGUGACAAAUGUAACAGGAAUCUAUAUUCCCUAAUUGCUAAUAUGUCUCCUUCUGGGUAGCAUUGCAUUUCAUCCUUAUCUUUAUUUCCCCUGCACCCCGCAUGUCCAGUUUAGUUUCCCUAAAAAUCUCCUGUUCAUUUGCAAAACCAGGACAAUGUGCAUCAUCUAUUUAUGCUGUAUGUAAAGAAGUUGAAGUGAAGGGUAUUGUAUGACUCUAACUUCCUUUAUCUAUAGAGGAUUUUCAGUAGGUGGGGAUGAGGGAGAAAAAGAGCACUAAUAAAACAAGAUUGCUUUGUUAUUUAGUUCCAGAGAGGGUAACAUUGGUGGGCCUAUGACCUAUUUUGGCUUGAAAGAUUUGUAAAAAUAUUGUAUUCACAUUUCUUCUCUUUUCAGUACCUGUGUUUUCUUCUAAGCAGUUGGUCAUACUGUUGCAGGAUUUUAUGGACUCUUGUAAAUACCUCUUUCAGGAAUUUCAAAAGAGAUUCUUGGGCUUUCCUAACCAUGGCCAUCGAAGACUCUAACUAACUCAUCAUAUCAUAUAACCCCUCAUACCAUAUAACCACUCUGUCUGGGAUUUCCUCUGUGAUUACGCCUUAGCUGCUUGCAGGAAAGAAAUUCUCUUUGAUCUGCAGCUGUAGGAUUACUGAAGCUUUACCUUGACUGAUUUUUUUUUUUUAACAUCGGUCAUCCACACUAAAAAAAAAUCCUAUUGUGUUUCUAUAGGUUUUCAGAUUAAAAACUGGCCUGUGGAUGAGCAAGCUGGAGGGAUUGUUGUUUAUACAAUAAAAUAAUCUUUGGAAUAGAACCCCAUGUAGCGAGCAUACACAGGAGAAUGUACCUUGCUAAAUAUAGCAGGUAACAAGUGGAAAUUCAAAGAAGCAUCCAAUUAAGCAAAUUUACAAACCUUUGCAAUGUGUUUGUCUGCAAUAUCUGCUUUGUUCAUGAUUUUAAUUAGAGGACUUAACUUGCUUCUCACCACUAAAACGAAUCCACCCCGUCUAAAUGUGGCAGUCUUAAAUAAAAGACUUUCUUGUAAAUCUGGCACCCUCCUACUCCCCUUCAGCUGGGAGACAUUUACUGCAUGUUUUCCACUUCCAGCGUAUAAUUAGUGAAAUGUGGAGGAUGCUCAUGUUGUUCAGGACCAAGAUUCGUUUCGAAAACUGUUAAACACAAACCUGUUUGCCUAGGAUUAGCAAAAGCUAUUUCUGCUGUAGUUUUCAGCCAAACAUAUGGCAGCAUUAACUCUGAAGGAAUAUUGAUUCAUUUUUCAUUUGUCACUCUUGCCCAUAGAUAAAUAUUCAUCUAUAGACAAAUAUUUUUCUUUCUAAUGAAGAGAAAGGACAUGAGUCUUGAAAAGGUGACAUUCAGUAGCCAGUCAUGUGAGGUCAGACAGGUGAGGUGUUUUGAUACUGAUGAACCAUCUACUCCUCCCCUUCUAGCUACAACAGACAGCAUCAUGCAACAUGGAUAGGAGACUUAGGUCGAAAACCUAGUCCCACUGAAGGGAAUAGCAGAACACCCAUUAACUUCAGUGGGGCCAGGAUUUCACCAAUAGGUUCUGCUAUUUACAGUUCUGCCAUUGAUAUGCUUUAUGACUUAGGUUAAAGCCCUUCUCUUCUGUGCCUCAGUUUCUUUACUUGAUGGGACUAUCAACUGCAUUCUUGUAGAUCAGCUUACCUGGUGGCAUCUUCCCAGACCUUCAAGAGUUGUCUUCCUGCUAAUCUAAAUCUCUAGGCCUCUGAACAACCAAUAUGAGGCAAAGAAGACCUUCUUUUAUUAAUUUUCA